AGUGAAUAGAUACCCUGGUAGUCCAUGCCCUAAACGACUGAUUACUCGAUGUGUGCGACAUACUGUACGCGUCUGAGCGAAAGCAUUAAGUAAUCCACCUGGGGAGUACGGCCGCAAGGCUGAAACUCAAAGGAAUUGACGGGGGCCCGCACAAGCGGAGGAGCAUGUGGUUUAAUUCGAUGAUACGCGCGGAACCUUACCAGGGCUUGAAAGUUAAGGAAUGAUGUAGAAAUAUGUCAGUCAGCAAUGACCUAAAACUAGGUGCUGCAUGGCUGUCGUCAGCUCGUGCCGUGAGGUGUUGGGUUUAAGUCCCGCAACGAGCGCAACCCCUAUCAUUAGUUGCCAACAGGUUAAGCUGGGGACUCUAAUGAGACUGCCCGCGCAAGCGGUGAGGAAGUGGGGAUGACGUCAAGUCAUCACGGCCCUUACGGUCCUGGGCUACACACGUGCUACAAUGGCCGGUACAGAAAGCAGCUACACAGUAAUGUGAUGCUAAUCUCCAAAGCCGGU
This 510-nucleotide ribosomal RNA is filed under the name uncultured bacterium. RNAcentral describes it as "bacterial SSU rRNA". It matches the Rfam family "Bacterial small subunit ribosomal RNA", at positions 774 to 1286 of the family's 1533-position model. The record is from RNAcentral.